This 660-nucleotide ribosomal RNA is filed under the name uncultured Prevotella sp. RNAcentral describes it as "bacterial SSU rRNA". It matches the Rfam family "Bacterial small subunit ribosomal RNA", at positions 64 to 715 of the family's 1533-position model. Lineage: Bacteria; Pseudomonadati; Bacteroidota; Bacteroidia; Bacteroidales; Prevotellaceae. The record is from RNAcentral.
GGGAACGACAUCGAAAGCUUGCUUUUGAUGGGCGUCGACCGGCGCACGGGUGAGUAACGCGUAUCCCAUCUGCCCACCACUUGGGGAUAACCUUGCGAAAGUAAGACCUUUACCCAAUGGUAUCUCUAGAAGACAUCUGAAAGAGAUUAAAGAUUUAUCGGUGAUGGAUGGGGAUGCGUCUGAUUAGCUUGUUGGCGGGGUAACGGCCCACCAAGGCAACGAUCAGUAGGGGUUCUGAGAGGAAGGUCCCCCACAUUGGAACUGAGACACGGUCCAAACUCCUACGGGAGGCAGCAGUGAGGAAUAUUGGUCAAUGGACGAGAGUCUGAACCAGCCAAGUAGCGUGUAGGAAGACGGCCCUAUGGGUUGUAAACUGCUUUUAUAAGGGAAUAAAGUGAGAGUCGUGACUCUUUUUGCAUGUACCUUAUGAAUAAGGACCGGCUAAUUCCGUGCCAGCAGCCGCGGUAAUACGGAAGGUCCGGGCGUUAUCCGGAUUUAUUGGGUUUAAAGGGAGCGUAGGCCGGAGAUUAAGCGUGUUGUGAAAUGUAGACGCUCAACGUCUGCACUGCAGCGCGAACUGGUUUCCUUGAGUACGCACAAAGUGGGCGGAAUUCGUGGUGUAGCGGUGAAAUGCUUAGAUAUCACGAAGAACUCCGAUUG